GAACUCCUGGUGAUCCUCCUGCCUCCGCCUCCUGAGGGCUGGCAUCACAGGCUAUCCUAUUUAAAAUUACUUUCAAAGUUCUUCAUGAGCAUUCCCUGGGAAUAUUUUAUGUUCUUAUGUCAUAAUCAUCAAAUCCUCACACCGUAACGAUGAAUUUUAUUUCUGGAAUUGUUCAAAUGCCAUAUAUAAGAGUGGGUGAUCAAUACCUGGUGUUGUUUUAAGGUAACCCUUAAAAUUCAAUCUUAUUAUAUUGAAAAUACGUAUAUACAUUUUCUCUGAGCACAUCCCUCUAACCCCUGUGACACACAUCAGUUCCUACGAAUCCUUUCCUUCCCUCUGCACCACGGCAGCUUCUUGUAUCUCAGUCUAGUGCCGGAUCUACUCAUUUCCAUCCGUCUAUUCUUCUUCCAUUCACUGGAAUAGGCACAUCCCAUAAUAAAAUUAAUUCUGAGGGGUCUCUUGUUGUAUGAAAAAUUACCACAGACAUUUUUACUGUAUGUUUAGUUUGAAAAUAUGUUUUGGGGAACAUUCCAUGUUAAUAUAACAUAAUUCUCAAUCCUGAUAUUCCAUAGUCAGUUUAGCGUCUUCCCCACCAAAUGAGAUCGGGUCUCUUCAAUACUGUGAAAAACUCAAAAACUAACACCGGUACUCAGUGUACAUUCACAGGGAGGACAGGUAAACAGUCUAUGAAUAUUCCUGAACCUGUGUCUCAGUCUCAGUUUGUAAAGGAGGUGUUGAUGUCAGGUAGCCAACAGAACCGGAGUGGCACUGAAGGAACUGACAGAGUGAAAGUAGGCUCUCCGGAACUCGUGCGGAAUGCCGUGAGUUUCCCUGGUGAGUCUUUUGUCUUGGCACCCGGGAGAGCUGGCUGUGGCUUACCCGCACUGUUGUCUUUACACACAGGAGUAUCCUGUCUUGACCCAAGGCAUAUUUCUCGCCUGAAGGCGUGCGUCCGGCCGUCUCUUACAGACGACUUCCCCUUUCUCGGGUCCUGAGGUGAGCUAGUCCCGCAUUCUCCAACACCUUCCCACAGCACCCAGGGGCUCCCACCACCAGGAUCUGCACCCAGCUCCUUCAUCAUUAUUCAGGGCAGAGUCCAUUUGCUGAGGAAAUCCUUCCACUCACUUACAGCGCUGUGAAGAAUCUACGCUUUGACACUAAUUCUUAGAUUGUGAGAAAUUUACUUCACAUUGAGCCCCUGAAAAAGAAUACUACACUAAUGGCACCUACUCCAUAGUCCUGUGGAGAACAGCACAGGGCAUGUUGAAACACUGGGGAGAGAAGGCCGGGAAAUUGUCAUCUCUACAGUGUUAGCGGCAUAACGAUCCUUUCCUAAUGAACAUCCUUCAUUUCUACACCUAGGUGACUGAUUCCUGCCAGCACCACUGACCAACUUCCAUCUCUGGUCAGAGGGUCUCUGACCCCGGUGGGCAGGGCCCCUCAGGGCCUUCCCCCCUUGAUCCUCCGUUUGUGGAGCCCUCCUGAGGGUGCAGUUUGUCAUCAACUGCUUAAGGAGGCUGAUUUCUGCCAGCACCACUGACCAACAUCCAUCUCUGGUCAGAGGGUCUCUGACCCUGGUGGGCAGCACCCCUCAAGGCCUUCACCCCUUAAUCCCUGCUGUCUGUGGUGUCCUUCUGAGGGUGCAGUUUUAUCAUCUUCUAUUUAAGAGCCUGAUUCCUGCCAGCACCACUGACCAACUUCCAUCUCUAGGUCAGAGGGUCUCUGACCCUGGUGGGCAGGGCCCUCAGGGCCUUCACCCCUUGAAUCCUCGUGUUUGUGGAGGGUGUACUUUUUGUCAUCCUCUCUUGGAGGUCGGAGUAACAUCCCUUGGACCGGCCACAUUUCCUGCCUGAAGGCAGGAGAACCAACUUUUUCUUGUUGACUUUCUACUUCUCAUCUACUGAGGAAUUUUUGUAGACACCAUCACUGAUCGAUAUCACCUAGGGAUCAGAAGAACUCUGAGCCUCCUGGGCGAGGCCCCUUGUGGCCUUCACCUGGGAUUGUUUUACGUGUGCAGCUUUUUCACCAACUGCUUCAGUCUAAAGCAAGACUUGAACAACCCAAUUUCUCAAAUCCGGAGCCGGGAUUUACACCUAGUCUGUUUAUAAACAGCACCCUCGGAAG
Long non-coding RNA from Chinchilla lanigera (long-tailed chinchilla), 2124 nucleotides. RefSeq lists it as uncharacterized. The transcript is spliced from 6 exons. NCBI's taxonomy places the organism in Eukaryota, Metazoa, Chordata, Mammalia, Rodentia, Chinchillidae. The record is from RefSeq and is a predicted model, not a curated record.